Molecule: transfer RNA, 104 nt
Filed under: Novosphingobium aromaticivorans DSM 12444
Lineage: Bacteria; Pseudomonadati; Pseudomonadota; Alphaproteobacteria; Sphingomonadales; Sphingomonadaceae
Description: tRNA-Gly (GCC) (tRNA-Gly-GCC-2-1)
Rfam family: tRNA
About the family: Transfer RNA (tRNA) molecules are approximately 80 nucleotides in length.
Source: RNAcentral
GUGGCUUAAAAUACGAACAUUAGACGCCUAUACACAUCAGGGCAUAACCUAGCCCAACCUUGCCAAGGUUGGGGUCGAGGGUUCGAAUCCCUUCGCCCGCUCCA